CUUUAAUCUGGGGCAUUUGAAACGUAAGUAAGUGACUGGUGCGGCAGCCCUCCCUGUGCAGUUCAAAUGUGUGAGUCACAGCCUUGGAGAGCAGGAAGCCGGCAAGGAAUGUGGUGACGUGGUUUCAGGAUCCAUCUGGCAGAGGUCUGUGAUCAGCCUGUUGGAAAACCCACCUCUGGGCACGGUUGCACGAAUGGAGGUUCUGAGCAGGAGGUGGGCCUGAUCAAAGUUGUUUAAUCUGACUUUUAAGGACGGAAAUACUGGAACUCUGGAACCCUGUUGAGAUGCAAUUGCAGGAAUCUAAAUAAAAGGUUUUUAGGUGCACUGCACAGUUUGGAAACUGAGUUAUACGGUGGCCUAAGCCAUAGACAAGCACUGCCGAGGUUAUAUACCCUGAUGUCCACCCUUGAACUAUGGUAUACAUGCUCUGCAUAUCAACA
This 440-nucleotide long non-coding RNA is filed under the name Cricetulus griseus (Chinese hamster). Its description in RNAcentral is "lncRNA (ENSCGRG00000025448.1)". The record is from RNAcentral. Lineage: Eukaryota; Metazoa; Chordata; Mammalia; Rodentia; Cricetidae.